This 627-nucleotide ribosomal RNA is filed under the name uncultured bacterium. Its description in RNAcentral is "bacterial SSU rRNA". It matches the Rfam family "Bacterial small subunit ribosomal RNA", at positions 60 to 670 of the family's 1533-position model. The record is from RNAcentral.
AGUAGAACGCUGAAGAGAGGAGCUUGCUCUUCUUGGAUGAGUUGCGAACGGGUGAGUAACGCGUAGGUAACCUGCCUGGUAGCGGGGGAUAACUAUUGGAAACGAUAGCUAAUACCGCAUAAAAUGGAUUAUCGCAUGAUAAUCAAUUGAAAGGUGCAAAUGCAUCACUACCAGAUGGACCUGCGUUGUAUUAGCUAGUUGGUGGGGUAACGGCUCACCGAGGCGACGAUACAUAGCCGACCUGAGAGGGUGAUCGGCCACACUGGGACUGAGACACGGCCCAGACUCCUACGGGAGGCAGCAGUAGGGAAUCUUCGGCAAUGGACGGAAGUCUGACCGAGCAACGCCGCGUGAGUGAAGAAGGUUUUCGGAUCGUAAAGCUCUGUUGUAAGAGAAGAACGAGUGUGAGAGUGGAAAGUUCACACUGUGACGGUAUCUUACCAGAAAGGGACGGCUAACUACGUGCCAGCAGCCGCGGUAAUACGUAGGUCCCGAGCGUUGUCCGGAUUUAUUGGGCGUAAAGCGAGCGCAGGCGGUUAGAUAAGUCUGAAGUUAAAGGCUGUGGCUUAACCAUAGUACGCUUUGGAAACUGUUUAACUUGAGUGCAAGAGGGGAGAGUGGAAUUCC